CAAAGGAAUUGACGGGGCCGCACAAGCGGUGGAGUAUGUGGUUUAAUUCGAUGCAACGCGAAGAACCUUACCUGGCCUUGACAUCCCGGGAAUUUCCUGGAAACAGGAGAGUGCUUUCAUUAGAGAGAACCUGGAGACAGGUGCUGCAUGGCUGUCGUCAGCUCGUGUCGUGAGAUGUUGGGUUAAGUCCCGCAACGAGCGCAACCCUUGCCUUUAGUUGCCAGCAGUUCGGCUGGGCACUCUAAAGGGACUGCCGGUGUCAAACCGGAGGAAGGUGGGGAUGACGUCAAGUCCUCAUGGCCUUUAUGACCAGGGCUACACACGUACUACAAUGGCCGGUACAAAGGGCAGCGACACAGCGAUGUGAAGCCAAUCCCGAAAAGCCGGUCUCAGUCCGGAUUGGAGUCUGCAACUCGACUCCAUGAAGUUGGAAUCGCUAGUAAUCGCGGAUCAGCACGCCGCGGUGAAUACGUUCCCGGGCCUU
This 484-nucleotide ribosomal RNA is filed under the name uncultured Desulfobulbus sp. RNAcentral describes it as "bacterial SSU rRNA". It matches the Rfam family "Bacterial small subunit ribosomal RNA", at positions 902 to 1382 of the family's 1533-position model. The record is from RNAcentral. Lineage: Bacteria; Pseudomonadati; Thermodesulfobacteriota; Desulfobulbia; Desulfobulbales; Desulfobulbaceae.